UGACCACCAGUAAGGGACUCUACAUUGGAAUCUGCAUUACUGCUGUGGUAUUGCUCACUGUGUUGGUUGUCCUGAUUACCAAAAAAUAUUUAUGCAUAAGAAACAAGCUGAAAGAACUAAACUUGGUUUCGUUGAGUGACCCUCAGACUGGAGCUUUGCAAAGUGCAUCUGAAGUGGGUAUGCGAGCAGAAGACAAUAUCUACAUUAUC
Hyaena hyaena (striped hyena) is the source of this 209-nucleotide long non-coding RNA. RefSeq lists it as uncharacterized. NCBI's taxonomy places the organism in Eukaryota, Metazoa, Chordata, Mammalia, Carnivora, Hyaenidae. The record is from RefSeq and is a predicted model, not a curated record. The transcript is spliced from 3 exons.